GUGGGGAAUAUUGGGCAAUGGGGGAAACCCUGACCCAGCGACGCCGCGUGAGGGAAGAAGGCCUUAGGGUCGUAAACCUCUGUUGUGUGGGAAGAAGAGCGUGACGGUACCACACGAGGAAGUCCCGGCUAACUACGUGCCAGCAGCCGCGGUAAUACGUAGGGGACGAGCGUUGUCCGGAUUUACUGGGCGUAAAGGGCGCGUAGGCGGUCAUUUAAGUAAGCUGUGAAAUGGUUUGGCUUAACCGGAUCAUGCGGUUGAAACUGGAUGACUGGAGUGCUGGUGAGGCAAGUGAAAUUCCCAGUGUAGCGGUGAAAUGCGUAGAUAUUGGGAAGAACAACGGUGGCAAAGACGACUUGCUGGCCAGCAAAUGACGCUGAGGCGCGAAAGCCAGGGGAGCAAACGGGAUUAGAAACCCCGGUAGUCC
This 427-nucleotide ribosomal RNA is filed under the name uncultured bacterium. RNAcentral describes it as "partial 16S ribosomal RNA". It matches the Rfam family "Bacterial small subunit ribosomal RNA", at positions 354 to 796 of the family's 1533-position model. The record is from RNAcentral.